Molecule: ribosomal RNA, 253 nt
Filed under: uncultured bacterium
Lineage: Bacteria
Description: partial 16S ribosomal RNA
Rfam family: Bacterial small subunit ribosomal RNA
Source: RNAcentral
UACGUAGGGUGCGAGCGUUGUCCGGAAUUAUUGGGCGUAAAGGGCUCGUAGGCGGUUUGUCACGUCGGGAGUGAAAACUCGGGGCUUAACCCCGAGCCUGCUUCCGAUACGGGCUGACUAGAGGUAUGCAGGGGAGAACGGAAUUCCAGGUGUAGCGGUGAAAUGCGUAGAUAUCUGGAGGAACACCGGUGGCGAAGGCGGCAUCCUGGACCAAUUCUGACGCUGAGACGCGAAAGCGUGGGGAGCGAACAGG